RNAcentral lists this transfer RNA (62 nucleotides) under Takobia yixiani. Its description in RNAcentral is "tRNA-Thr". It matches the Rfam family "tRNA". From Rfam's summary of the family: Transfer RNA (tRNA) molecules are approximately 80 nucleotides in length. Their secondary structure includes four short double-helical elements and three loops (D, anti-codon, and T loops). Lineage: Eukaryota; Metazoa; Arthropoda; Insecta; Ephemeroptera; Baetidae. The record is from RNAcentral.
GGCUAAAUAGUUUAAAUAAAAUUUUGGUCUUGUAAAUCAAAGAUAGUUCAUACUUUUGGCCG